UGGGGAAUUUUGGACAAUGGGGGCAACCCUGAUCCAGCCAUUCCGCGUGAGUGAAGAAGGCCUUCGGGUUGUAAAGCUCUUUCGGCAGGAACGAAACGGUGAAGGAUAAUACCCUUUGCUAAUGACGGUACCUGAAGAAGAAGCACCGGCUAACUACGUGCCAGCAGCCGCGGUAAUACGUAGGGUGCGAGCGUUAAUCGGAAUUACUGGGCGUAAAGCGUGCGCAGGUGGUUCGUUAAGACAGAUGUGAAAUCCCCGGGCUCAACCUGGGAACUGCGUUUGUGACUGGCGAGCUAGAGUGCGGCAGAGGGGGGUAGAAUUCCACGUGUAGCAGUGAAAUGCGUAGAGAUGUGGAGGAAUACCGAUGGCGAAGGCAGCCCCCUGGGUCGACACUGACGCUCAUGCACGAAAGCGUGGGGAGCAAACAG
This 428-nucleotide ribosomal RNA is filed under the name uncultured bacterium. RNAcentral's name for it is "bacterial SSU rRNA". It matches the Rfam family "Bacterial small subunit ribosomal RNA", at positions 355 to 775 of the family's 1533-position model. The record is from RNAcentral.